Molecule: non-coding RNA, 150 nt
Organism: Caenorhabditis elegans
Lineage: Eukaryota; Metazoa; Nematoda; Chromadorea; Rhabditida; Rhabditidae
Source: Ensembl
UCUUAUUCUCUCCUCCCGCAAUCAUAAACCACCAGACCAGUAGCAUCUGUAAAGUGCGCGGCCUUCCUCCACCCAUCACUCUCUCGUAACCUCAAUGAAAUAGUGGCGCGUUCGAUGAGGGUAUCCUCCUGCGUCUGUGGUACACAAAAC